AGACUCCUACGGGAGGCAGCAGUAGGUAAUAUUGGACAAUGGGCGAGAGCCUGAUCCAGCAAUGCCGCGUGUGUGAAGAAGGCCUGAGGGUUGUAAAGCACUUUCAGUUGGGAAGAAAAGCUUUAGGAUAAUANUCUAAAGUCUUGACGUUACCAACAGAAGAAGCACCGGCUAACUCUGUGCCAGCAGCCGCGGUAAUACAGAGGGUGCGAGCGUUAAUCGGAAUUACUGGGCGUAAAGCGUGCGUAGGCGGUUAAGUCAGUCGGAUGUGAAAGCCCAAGGCUUAACCUUGGAACUGCAUUCGAUACUGCUUAGCUAGAGUACAGUAGAGGGAAGCGGAAUUCCUAGUGUAGCGGUGAAAUGCGUAGAUAUUAGGAAGAACACCAGUGGCGAAGGCGGCUUCCUGGACUGAUACUGACGCUGAUGUACGAAAGCGUGGGGAGCAAACAGGAUUAGAUACCCUGGUAGUCCACGCCCUAAACGAUGAGAACUAGAUGUUGGGGGAAAUUAAUCCCUUAGUAUCGCAGCUAACGCGAUAAGUUCUCCGCCUGGGGAGUACGACCGCAAGGUUAAAACUCAAAUGAAUUGACGGGGGCCCGCACAAGCGGUGGAGCAUGUGGUUUAAUUCGAUGCAACGCGAAGAACCUUACCUGGCCUUGACAUCCUCGGAACCUCGCAGAGA
RNAcentral lists this ribosomal RNA (682 nucleotides) under uncultured bacterium. Its description in RNAcentral is "bacterial SSU rRNA". It matches the Rfam family "Bacterial small subunit ribosomal RNA", at positions 333 to 1006 of the family's 1533-position model. The record is from RNAcentral.